This 433-nucleotide ribosomal RNA is filed under the name uncultured bacterium. Its description in RNAcentral is "partial 16S ribosomal RNA". It matches the Rfam family "Bacterial small subunit ribosomal RNA", at positions 29 to 507 of the family's 1533-position model. The record is from RNAcentral.
AACGAACGCUGGCGGCAUGCCUAACACAUGCAAGUCGAACGAGACCACCGGGUCUUUUGGCGCACGGGUGCGUCACGCGUCGGAACCUGCACUUAUGUUCGGCAUAACUCCCCGAAAGGGGUGCUAACACCGGAUAAUGUCUUCUAACCAAAGAUUUAUCGCGCUGGGAUGGGCCCGCGUUGGAUUAGCUUGUUGGUAGGGUAAAAGCCUACCAAGGCGACGAUUCAUAGCUUGUUUCAGAGAAUGGUCAGCCACACUUGGACUGAGAAGCGGCCGAGACUCCUACGGGAGGCAGGAGUGCGGAAUAUUGCAAAAUCGGGUGAGUGCUGAUCCAGCACUGCCGCGUGAGUGAUGAAGUCCUUAGAGUUGUAAAGCUCUUUUACCCGGGAUGAUAAUGACGGUACCGAAAGAAUAAGCUCCGGCUAACUACGUG